RNAcentral lists this ribosomal RNA (501 nucleotides) under Cantharellus sp. NKZ-2022b. Its description in RNAcentral is "partial large subunit ribosomal RNA". It matches the Rfam family "Eukaryotic large subunit ribosomal RNA", at positions 83 to 567 of the family's 3401-position model. The record is from RNAcentral. Lineage: Eukaryota; Fungi; Basidiomycota; Agaricomycetes; Cantharellales; Hydnaceae.
GUAACUGCGAGUGAAGAGGGAAGAGCUCAUCAUUGGAAUCUGGCAGUGUUGCACUGUCCGAGUUGUAGAUGAGGAGUAGCCCAUCUGGACUGCAUGGCAUCCAAGUACAAUAGGCCGUCAGUGGGACAUCAUAGAGGGUGACAAUCCCGUCCUUGAUGCCAAUGUGCAAGUCCGCUUACGAUGGCUAUCUCAGAGAGUCGAGCAGUUUGGGAUUUGCUGCUUAAACAUGGGAGGUAGAUUCCUUCUAAAGCUAAAUACAGGCGAGAGACCGAUAGAGAACAAGUACCGCAAGGGAAAGAUGAAAUAGAACUCUGUGAAGGGAGUCAAAAGGCGUGAAAUUGUUGCGAGAGAAGCGAUUCAAGUCAGCGUAGCUAGGCCCAUCAAGCCUCUUUGCUUUGGACUAGCUUUGCCAGCGGUCUUGUCCUAGAGACUUGACUUUGUAUUAACAUGUCCAGCCUGGUAUACACAGGUAGCCCCUCUUGGGGGGCCAGUGGCAUGGCU